Molecule: long non-coding RNA, 4650 nt
Organism: Homo sapiens (human)
Lineage: Eukaryota; Metazoa; Chordata; Mammalia; Primates; Hominidae
Gene: PURPL
Product: p53 upregulated regulator of p53 levels
Source: Ensembl
CUCUUGAGCUCUUGUGGUGACCUGGGAAUCAAUGUGUGAGGUGGUGCUAUGUAGCAGGAACCCCUCUUGCUUUGCAAAUAGUUUUUUGUUUGUUUUCCUUUUUGCCCAAUAGAGCCCUGCUCUACUGACCCUUCAAUGUGCCCGUGUGCCUAAAUAUUCCUGGUCGUGUGAAAAGAACCCAGGUAUUAGCUGAACUAAGGAGCACAAUUCUGCAACAUUUUGGCACCCAAACACGGGGCUUGAGAAAUGAAUGCAAUUGGAGAAACUGGUUGUUUUACCAGGCGUUGAUUGGAAAUGUGUGCUUCCCUUUAAGCAGUCAAGCUCAACUUGCAGAACUGAUGGGAACCCCUUGGGAAAACUGGCCUCAAAUGUUUGUCUACACAGUCCACAUACAGGGUUCUUAACCUGCGAUGAGGGAAACUUCCCAGGGCUUGUCUGGGUAUGCCCACAGUGGACUGGAGCCCAAAAUGCACACUGGAGGAAGUGGAUGGAGCCACGUGGAUGUCAUGCCUUAUGCAGGGGAGGAGCCUGCUCUCUUCAGCUCCUGUGGUAAUGUGGGAAUCGAUCUGUGAGAUUCCAUGAACUCCAAGUUAAGAACACAUGAUCUGGAUGUUUGACAAAAUACCUUCAGCAGGAAUAAUGAAAGCCCUGACAUUUCUGUGUGCAUAAAAACUGGAAAACUUUAAAAGUAAUAAAUCACCAAGUCUUUAUAAAAAUCGAUGAGUUAGGAAACACUUUCUGAAAAUGUCAGAACUCUUGAAAACAUGGAUGAGGAAAAGCAUAAGUACUGCUUUAUGCUUUUCUUAUGAAUUUUAAAAGAUGUAAUUUAAAGGUACUUUAAAGUGAUAUUUGUGCCCUUGUAACUGAUUCAAAGUAGACUGCUAAGGACAAUAAGUAAUAAGAGUCUACAAAUAUCAGUAAAUUAUGAGAAAAAACGGUCUAAUGGUACUUAAAAUUGCAUUGUGAUUUAUUAAAUAACAUUGAACAGCUCCACCUGUAACAUUAAGAUUCCAUUUGAGCAUAUAGAAAAUAUAUUUAUCGCAACCUGAAGUGAUUUGGAAAGUAUGCUGGGAAGAAAAUAUAUUUACAAAUUAGUCUCAGAGGGUAGGUAUCCUGUAGCCAGAUGGAAUAAGAAGAGAGGGAAGGGAGAUUUUGUUCAAAGGGGGAGCAUAAGCUAAGGAAUAAAGCCACAAACAAUGAUUAAAUUAGGUAAAGUGCAAUUAGCUGAAUAUUGCAUAAGCAUACAUAUGGGAAGAAGUGGAAAAAGGAGUGACAAUAUGAAGCUAAAGGGUUUGAAGUGUUCAAGAUAAUACUAGGCUUCCUAGCCUAUUCCGAGACAUCUUGUUUUAGAGUGCAAUAGAUAAGAACUCUAAGGAUGAAAGUAGGAGACAUGCAUUCUAGUCUACGUUUUGGUUAAUGGACUGAAAGUGAAAGAUGGACUGAAAUUGGGGGAUGGAAUAAAAAUGUGAUAGAAUAGAAAAUAGAAAAAGCAAUUAGCCUAAUGUCAUUGAUACUUAGAGAAAAUAUGGAAAAUAGUAAAUUAGUGAUAUAUAUCUUUUCUAAUUCACCAGGGUGAGUGAACAAAGGAAAUCGGAUUUAAAAGUAUUCAUGACAUAGAUGCAAUAAGGUUUCUCAGUCAGACAUAGCAAAUUGAGGGAAGGGAAGAUUUAGAGGAUUGGAAAAUGUCUUGCUUGUAGACUAAUAGGAUAUCAAUAAGCCAUAUGAGCAAUAAUUUGAAAUAGUUUUUGUAAAGUAUCAUGAAGGUAAACCCUGUUUAGAACAAAUUAGAUUUGAAGUACUUGUGACAAAUGCAAUUGACAAUGCCUUUAUGCAGCUGGAAAAUUGUUGCUUAGCAGAAAAGCUUGUGCUGGACAAAUAGAUGUCCAAAUUGAAUAGAUGUUUUCUUAAGCUGAACUAAUUGAGACAAAUAUCCUUAUUAAAUCAAAAAAUUAAAAAUUGAAAUAACUUACCUAUGAUAGGGUAAAUAAUGUUAUUAAUAUACACAAGAAAUAUGUGAUGUAUAUGUGUAUGUACAUAUGUAUACAUAGUAAUAAUACAUAGUGCUAUUUUUAAAUGAUAUUUUACAUAGUGCUUUUUUAAAUGAUUUUUCAAUCAUCGUUGUUGGUCUGUGUUAUUUUAAUCAUCAAAGCUGAUUGAUUUCUGUUUUUGUGUUUUUUUUUGUUUUUUUUGAGGUGGAGUCUCACUCUGUCACCCAUGGUGGAGUACAGUAGUGCGGUCUUAGCUCACUACAAACUCCACUUCCCUGAUUCAAGUAAUUCUUGUGCCUCAGCCUCUCGAGUAGCUUGGAUUGCAGGCAUGCACCACCACGAGCUGCUAAAUUUUUUGUAUUUUUUGUAGAGGGGUUUUGCCAUGUUGGCCAAGCUGGUCUCAAACUCCUGACCUCAAGUGAUCCGCCCUGGCUUCCCAAGCCCAGCUGAUUCCUGUUUAAAUAAAAACUUACAAAGAUCUUCCCACAAGUACUUUAUCUUACAAUUUACUGAACAAUAGAGGCAGUGAAGAUGUUUUUCAGAAAGCAAUUGUGAUCCUGACAUUUUCUUCUUAUAAUCCUGUGCUUUCCUCAUUUUUUUAUAUUAAAAGUAAUAGUUCUUGUGAUGGCAACUAGGAUUUGUAACAACAUGUACCCUCAUUUCCUGCAUGACCUUUUUUAUGUCACUUCUUCACAUGCAAAGUAUACUCCCUCAGUGUCAUUACAUUAUUUGAUUUUUGCCCUUUCCCUCACCUUUCCAUGUGUUUAUUUGCCUAUGCCCAUCUCCUAGUCACAUUUUAUCUAGUUAACGCCAACUUGACUUUCAAUGCUGUUCAAGAUUUACCUCAAUCUCAAGUGUUUUCUCUUUAUAUUCCAUACACGCUUAGCUUGGCUGCCAAUCCUCUUGGCUGCCAAAGAAUCCCAAAUUAUCUCUUUCAAAAAUACAAGAAAUAAAGGAUGGAGGAUAGGAAGGAGGGUGGUCAGGAAAGAACAAAGAAAGGAGGGGAGAGGAAAAAAAGAGAGAAAGAAAGAGAAUUAAAGUUAAGGAGGAAGAAUUUCACACUGAAUUAAAAUUGAUAAUAUUCAGGAAUGAUUUUAUAGUAGGCAUACAUUGAUAAAUAUUAGUUAAAUUAAUGAAUUAUUCCAAAAGAUCAUGAUUUGUAAAAAUUACCCUGAAGCACUUUAGGAAUAUUACAUUGAAAUAGGUAUGCAAUUUCUAAAGAAACUGGACUGCAAAAAUAGCCAUUGUGUGUACCUGUGGACCAGAAUAUUAUAUUUUGCUUAAGUUUGAAGUGUUAAAGUGCCCAACGUGCUCUUAUUUUAACCUAGCAAAUUUUCAGCAGAACUUAAGCUCAUAUAGUAUUUGAUUUUUUCAUUUCUCACAACUGUUGGAAUUCUGUUUUAUUGAAAAUUAUACAAUAAAAUGUUAAAAAAUCUUUGUUCCUGCAGUUAUGCAAUCUUAUGCCAAAGUCAAUAAAUUAUUAAAUUAAAAUCAAACCCACUAAGCCUAACAAUUUGAGAAAAUGAUUAUUAAAACAUAUACCAUUUAGAAGGGCAAUGCCUUUUUAAUAUUAUAGUGAAGACAACCCUAUCAAUUAUUUAAUACACCAAGAAUACAAGGAUAUAAAAUCUUUUUCUCUCAUAUAUCACAUUAUCUGAUGUAUUUAGCUGUGAUGACAUUCCAGAAAACAUCACUUUUUAAAAUUUCUAAGAUUUUAUUAUGUUGCUAGCAAAUCGAUUUUUUUCAAGUACUGUAACAAAAUCCCUAAAUGGGCUUUAUGAGAACUAUUUUCAGUGUGAUAUUAAUCAUAUUUUAUUUAUCAUCCAUACAUAGAUGGUAGCUUAUCUGGUAUUCCUAGUGUUUGAAGUGAAGAGUAACACACACACACAUCCCAAUACCAAUUUAAUUGAUAAAUAUAUAAUCAUUUGUUUUCAAAUAUUUAUGUUGAUACUUGCUUGUGUACUUACUUGUAAUGUAGGUCUGUAAAAGGGACUGUUUUCUUUCUGUGAAACUGAAGCUUAAAGCAGUGCUUGUCACAAAUUCAAAAUCACCUUGCUUUGUCAACAUUUUCAGAUGUUUUUGGCUCAGUCUGAUGACAGCAUCAGUGCAGUAAAGGGAUCUUAUUGAAAUGUUUUAACUAAAGAUAAAAUGCCACCACUAGGAGAAAAAUAAAAUCAAGGAAAUAAACAGAAAAUCAAUAAAUGUGAAAUGUAUUAUAAAUUUAUAUAAUAACAAUGUUGUAUGCUAUAAACAUCUCACUUUGUAAAAUUAACAAGAAUUCAGUGAGGCAGAUCAUUUUCUAUGUGUUCAGAAGUCAAGUCUUUGAUGGCUAAUUUUUAUAUUACUUCAUUACAAUAUCUCUACUGAAGCAAAAUAAUUGCAAAUCUUUUUGAAUGAAAUCAAUUUAUCUUUAAUUUUAGAUAAUAUUUGGUAUAGUUGGCAUAGUUUUGUCACAAAGCAUAGCUAACAUCAAUGUAGCCUUACGACUUCAAAUGUCUUUAUAGAUCUUUUCUGAAAUUGCAAAAUUUUACUUUGAAAUUAUUGUUAAUAUUUACGUUGCACAACCACAAAUGUAGAAAUAAAAUUAUAAAGUCUCCAGAUAAUGUUUUAUUUUAACCACACAUAUGUUGUGAUAGUUUCAAAUAAAUGAAAGCUCUACUGA